RNAcentral lists this ribosomal RNA (502 nucleotides) under Leiogalathea turnus. RNAcentral's name for it is "partial 16S large subunit ribosomal RNA". It matches the Rfam family "Archaeal large subunit ribosomal RNA", at positions 1921 to 2666 of the family's 2987-position model. The record is from RNAcentral. Lineage: Eukaryota; Metazoa; Arthropoda; Malacostraca; Decapoda; Munidopsidae.
GUCUGUAUGAAGUUAUAUAGAGUCUAGCCUGCCCAAUGAAUUUUAUUUUAAAAGGCCGCAGUAAUUUGACUGUGCAAAGGUAGCAUAAUAAUUAGUUUUUUAAUUGAAGGCUUGUAUGAAUGGUUGGACAAAGAAACCCCUGUCUUUUUUAUUAUCUUUGAAUUUCACAUUUAAGUGAAAAGGCUUAAAUAAACUUAAGGGACGAUAAGACCCUAUAAAUCUUUACAUUGAAUUAAUUUUUUUUACAGUUUGUAAGACUUAAUAAUGUUAUGUUGGGGCAACAAAGAUAAAAAAAAUAACUGUUCUAUAAAAUAAACAUUUAUAUAUGAAUGAGAUAAAAGAUCCUUAAAAAAGAUUAGAAGUUUAAGUUACUUUAGGGAUAACAGCGUUAUUUUUUUUGAAAGUUCUUAUUGAAAAAAAAGUUUGCGACCUCGAUGUUGAAUUAAAAUUUCUCUACGGUGCAGCAGUUGUAAGAGAGAGUCUGUUCGACUUUUAAAAUUUU